UACGUAGGGUGCGAGCGUUAAUCGGAAUUACUGGGCGUAAAGGGCGCGUAGGCGGUCUUGUAAGUCUCGUGUGAAAUCCCUCGGCUUAACUGAGGAACUGCACGGGAUACUGCAUGACUUGAGGUCGGGAGAGGGAAGCGGAAUUCCGGGUGUAGCGGUGAAAUGCGUAGAUAUCCGGAGGAACACCGGUGGCGAAGGCGGCUUCCUGGACCGACUCUGACGCUGAGGCGCGAAAGCUAGGGGAGCAAACGGG
RNAcentral lists this ribosomal RNA (253 nucleotides) under uncultured bacterium. RNAcentral's name for it is "partial 16S ribosomal RNA". It matches the Rfam family "Bacterial small subunit ribosomal RNA", at positions 524 to 776 of the family's 1533-position model. The record is from RNAcentral.